Molecule: unclassified non-coding RNA, 2080 nt
Filed under: Hevea brasiliensis (rubber tree)
Lineage: Eukaryota; Viridiplantae; Streptophyta; Magnoliopsida; Malpighiales; Euphorbiaceae
Source: RNAcentral
AUAGUGCUCUCUUGUCACCAGAUGCAUUGUGAGCUGCAAAAUUUUCAUUUCACUCUAUAAGAUGUUUCUGUAUACCAGCCUAUACAUGAUACAUUACUUCUCAUUAGGAACAAGCAAGUUCGUAUUUUCUAGCACUAUUGAGUUCUAUCAUUAUUCAGAGCUUAGGGUUAUGUAAAUGCUGUCUACCUGUCCAAACAUCUCCAGGACUCGAAAUUACUGGCUUAAGCAUUGUUGAUUGUUCUACACAUAUAAAUGAAUACAUGCCACAGCUUUGGUGGCUUAAGCUGGGACAAAACAUGUACAGUUUAUUGAACCCAUCCCUUGCUAUCACAACUGAGUUUCUUCUACUCUGUUUAUGAGGAGAGGGAAAGCAUUUGUCAGCGUAGAGAAGAAUGGAAAGCAAGAUUCAAGAGUAGACUGAACUCAUUGAACGAUAACUUCGUUAAGUGUAUCCAAUAAGUUUCAUAGACAGGAUUGGUUUGGCAAGUCUCACAACCAAGCUAAUUUGGAUCAACUACUACAAACUCUAAAAUAUUUUCUGGGGUGAACCAACUAUGAUACUUAGCUAAGGUGGAAAUAUCAAAUAUUUUCGGGAAUGGACAUUUUACUGGAAUGAAGCCUUCAACGAGAUAGAAAAAGGUCUGAACCCAAGUAGUUCAUGAUUUGAAUGUUUAGAUUCAAUCAUACAUCUAAGGAAAAAAAUGGGAAAGGAAAAGAAAAGGGAAUUGAAUCGAGUGAUUAAGAAGAAGACCCUGUCAAUGAUUGUGAAAUCCAGUGGUGCACUGGUGUAAAACCUUUUAAUUUGCUCAGUUAAGUGCUUAUAGUUGUCAGUCCCUUCACCGUUCAUUUCUUCUCCACUCCGUAUUUGCCUGCCUCUCCCAUUUCUAGCAUCCAAGGCAGAUCCUCUGAGACCCAGAAUAUCUCAUAGUUCGCCAGAACCAUAUCCACUUUCGUGGCCAAGGUCAGGAGAAACUAUGCUCAAAUUUGACAAGAACAUAGGCCUGUUAAAGAAAUUUGAUCCCUCUAACCCUUAUACAGAAGUCGUUUCUGGUAUGCUUACUGUUAGAUGGCUUAUAAGGGAUCCCACCAACUGGACUGAUGAAGAUUUUGAGUUUGAGACUAUGAGCUUUUAGCCAAAGGUGUCUUCUUGGAGACUCACAUUGUGUCUUACUUAAACCAUAUCCUCUGUAUCUGUGCCUAUGAGUGCAACCCGCAUUCCAGAAGUUCCCACUUCAGGAAUGCGUAAAAUUCCAAGCAUCCAAAUUGAAUCUCCUUAAAAUUGACAAGCUUAUAUAUACAGACCUGAAUAGAGUCUUGAGGUGAUCCUCUAAUAGCAUGAACAGCCCAAAAGUUUCAGCAUUACUUCCAAAGUUCAAGGCUAAGAAUACCCCUCCUUGUAUGACAGGAUUACCGUCUUUCCCUUCUGAGACGGAUCUUUGCAGCAGCUCAAAUGUACCACCAUGCCACAUGUGCCUUGUAUUAUGUGAUCAGGCCACUUGGAAGCGUCCAGGUGGCUGUACUCCCAUUCCCCUAUCUCAUCUUGGAAAUGCAGCUAUCGCUUAUAUUUUCAUAAGUGACUCCAUCCCCACUGAAUUCUCCCUCCAAGUAGUCCACAUUGAUCGGUUGGUAUGGGAUUGAAGCUACAGAUGGGAGUGGUAAUUCUCUCUUCUUAUUACUGCAUUGAACAGAAAUAGAAGGAAGGUAAGAAAGAAAAUGGAUGUGUGCUGGGGGGACUUGUGGAGGGAAUAGAAGUAAUGUUCAUUGAAAAUAGAGAACUGGAAGCCAUAAUUAAAUGAAAGUAGAGAACUGGAAGCCAUAGUUAACCCUUCAUUUCAAUUUUGUAUUAUUUGGUAUCAUUAUGCAGAAGAUAGAAUAUAACUGCAUACCUAUUGAAUAUAAUGUAAAGAGAAAAGGAUGUUGUGGGGCCCACUUAUCACUGUCUUGCAUACGGUUGGAUGACUCAGCUAGUCCUUUUGGUUGGUUCUAAUUUAAAACUAGUUAGAUAUUUUGAAAUAUAUUUUUCCAUUAUUUGUUGAAGUUCUUGACAAUUGCUCCUAUCUAAUUCCAAUGUUGUUAGCCA